This 253-nucleotide ribosomal RNA is filed under the name uncultured bacterium. Its description in RNAcentral is "partial 16S ribosomal RNA". It matches the Rfam family "Bacterial small subunit ribosomal RNA", at positions 524 to 776 of the family's 1533-position model. The record is from RNAcentral.
GACAGAGGUGCCGAGCGUUAGGCGGAAUCACUGGGCUUAAAGCGUGUGUAGGCGGACCCGUCAGUGUCUUGUGAAAGCCCUGGGCUCAACCUGGGAAUUGCAGUGGAUACUGGCGAGCUAGAGUGCGGUAGAGGAUGGUGGAAUUCCCGGUGUAGCGGUGAAAUGCGUAGAGAUCGGGAGGAACACCCGUGGCGAAGGCGGCCAUCUGGACCAGCACUGACGCUGAGACGCGAAAGCGUGGGGAGCGAACAGG